Molecule: small RNA, 693 nt
Filed under: Pongo abelii (Sumatran orangutan)
Lineage: Eukaryota; Metazoa; Chordata; Mammalia; Primates; Hominidae
Description: retained intron
Source: RNAcentral
GGAUGAAGAUGAGCUGGAUUCCCACACCAUGGUGAAGACUAGUGUGGAGAGUGUGGGCACCAUGCGGGCCACAAGCACGAUGAGUGAAGGGGCCCAGACCAUGAUUGAACAUAAUAGCACCAUGUUGGAAUCCGACUUGGGGACCAUGGUGAUAAACAGUGAGGAUGAGGAAGAAGAAGAUGGAACUAUGAAAAGAAAUGCAACCUCACCACAAGUACAAAGACCAUCUUUCAUGGACUACUUUGAUAAGCAAGACUUCAAGAAUAAGAGUCACGAAAACUGUAAUCAGAACAUGCAUGAACCCUUCCCUAUGUCCAAAAACGUUUUUCCUGAUAACUGGAAAGUUCCUCAAGAUGGAGACUUUGACUUUGUAAGUACAUUUUAAUUCUUCAAUUUAUGUUUUCUCCUUCUAUAUUUUAUCAUCAAAUUGAGAAGCAUAGUUCAUAUGUAUAUGAACUGUGUGUAUGUAUAUACAAUUAUAGACCAUAUGUUAAUAUUCAUUAUACAGCCAUAUGCAUGGAUAGAGAAAUUGUGAAACUGUAGCUUGCUUAUAGAAAUGUACUUGCAGAGAAAUACUUUUUUAUAGUUAAAUAAUAGCUCAAAUUUAGAUAAAUAUUCAGAACUCCUUAAAACUAAAAUGACAACUAUUUUAAAAGAUGUUUUCAAUAAUGCAAAUAUGAGAUACUUCUGACA